GGUCAAGCAAGUAAGGGCCUACGGCGGAUGCCUGGGCAUCAGUUGGCGAUGAAGGACGUGGCUUGCUGCGAUAAGCGUCGGGGAGUGGUAAGCACACUUUGAUCCGGCGAUUUCCGAAUGGGGAAACCCAACGCUCAGAAAGGGCGUUACCCGAAAGGGAGCAAACGAGGGGAAUUGAAACAUCUUAGUACCCUCAGGAAAAGAAAGAAACUUCGAUUCCGCAAGUAGCGGCGAGCGAACGCGGACAAUCAGCCCAAACCCGUGUCUACGUGAUAGCUUCAAGGCGUUGUAGCAUGGGGGUUGAAGGACUAACAGGAGUCGCUUGAACGGCUCGAUGGAGUUACCAAGGUAGCAUCUAUCUGAACAGUUUGGAAAAACUGGCCAGAGACGGUGAUAGCCCGGUAAGGGAAAGGUGACUACCCUCCAGUUAGUAUCCUGAGUACGAUCCAACACGAGGAAUUGGGUCGGAAUCCACGGAGACCACUCCGUAAGGCUAAAUACACACUGAUGACCGAUAGUGUACGAGUACCGUGAGGGAAAGGUGAAAAGAACCCCGAAAGGGGAGUGAAAUAGAACCUGAAACCGUAGGCUUACAAGGUGUGGCGGCGCCAUAUGUGCGUUGCCGCGUGCCUUUUGCAUAAUGAGCCGGCGAGUUGUUUUACGUUGCGAGCUUAAGGCAGUUAAUGUCGAAGGCGCAGGGAAACCGAGUCCAAAUAGGGCGCAUAGUAACGUGGAGCAGACCCGAAGCCGAGUGAUCUACCUAUGAGCAGGGUGAAAUCAGGGUAAAACCUGAUGGAGGCCCGAACGGGUCAGAAUUAAAAAUCUGUCCGAUGACUUGUUGGUAGGGGCGAAAGACCAAUCAAACUCGGCAAUAGCUGGUUCUCCCCGAAAUAGCUUUAGGGCUAGCGUCACAUGUUCAUUUGAGGGGGUAGAGCACUGCAUGGAUCAGGGGGCCUACAAGCCUACCAAACCCUAGCAAACUCCGAAUACCUCAAAUCCAGAAUGUGGCAGUCAGAAGGCGGGGGCUAAGCUUCGUGUUCAAAAGGGAAACAGCCCAGACCAUCAUCUAAGGUCCCCAAGUUAACGCUAAGUGUUAAAGGAAGUGGGGGCGCUCAGACAACCAGGAUGUUGGCUUAGAAGCAGCCAUCAUUUAAAGAGUGCGUAAUAGCUCACUGGUCGAGUGCCUCUGCGCCGAAAAUGUAAUGGGACUAAGCGUUACACCGAAGGUAUGGACUCCGUAAGGAGUGGUAGGGGAGCGUUGUAAUCUGCAGGGAAGGUAUACCGCAAGGAGUACUGGAGCGAUUACAAGUGAGAAUGCCGGCAUGAGUAGCGAUUAUGGGGGUGAGAUUCCCCCACGCCGAUCACCCAAGGAUUCCCCGGCAAGGCCAAUCCGCCGGGGGUUAGUCGGUCCCUAAGGCAAACCCGAAAGGGGUAGUCGAUGGGAAGCAGGUUAAUAUUCCUGCACCGCCAUGGGUUCGUUUGAGCGAUGGAGUGACGAAGAAGGAUAAACAGGCAGAGCGUUGGUUUCUGUUCCUGGCUGUAGGCGCUGAGGGUUCCAGGAAAAUCCGGGACCUGAGCUGAGGGUUGGGACGAGUGAUCCUACGGGUAAUCGAAGCUGUUGAUUCCAUGCUUCCGAGAAAAACUUCUAAGUGAGAACUCGUGGUGACCGUACCGCAAACGGACACACGUGGGUAAGUAGAAUAUACUAAGGCGCUCGAGAGAACUCCUCCUAAGGAACUCGGCAAGCUAGCUCCGUAACUUCGGAAGAAGGAGCGCCUCAUCAGGUGAAGGUCCUGCGACCGGAGCCAGAUGGGGCCGCAGUGAAAGGGGGGUAGCGACUGUUUAACAAAAACACAGGUCUCUGCGAACUCGUAAGAGGACGUAUAGGGGCUGACACCUGCCCGGUGCCGGAAGGUUAAGAGGAUCCGUUAGCUUGUUUAACUUGCGAAGCGGAGAAUUGAAGCCCCGGUAAACGGCGGCCGUAACUAUGACGGUCCUAAGGUAGCGAAAUUCCUUGUCGGGUAAGUUCCGACCCGCACGAAUGGUGUAACGACUGCCCCACUGUCUCAGGAGGAGGCUCGGCGAAAUUGUAGUGCCCGUGAAGAUGCGGGCUUCCAGUAGCUGGACGGAAAGACCCCGUGAACCUUUACUAUAACCUGGCAUUGACCUUCGGUCGAAUAUGUGUAGGAUAGGUGGGAGACUUUGAUGCAGGGACGCUAGUUCUUGCGGAGUCAACCUUGAAAUACCACCCUUAUUCCGCUGGAGGUCUAACCCGCUGCAGAACAGCAGGGACAUUGUCAGGCGGGUAGUUUGACUGGGGCGGUCGCCUCCUAAAGAGUAACGGAGGCGCCCUAAGGUCUUCUCAGCGCGGCCGGAAAUCGCGCAUAGAGUGCAAAGGCAUAAGAAGGCUUAACUGUGAGACAAACAAGUCAAGCAGGUACGAAAGUAGGGCUUAGUGAUCCGGUGGUUCUGUGUGGAAGGGCCAUCGCUCAACGGAUAAAAGGUACUCCGGGGAUAACAGGCUUAUCGCGCCCAAGAGUUCAUAUCGACGGCGCGGUUUGGCACCUCGAUGUCGGCUCGUCGCAUCCUGGGGCUGGAGCAGGUCCCAAGGGUUUGGCUGUUCGCCAAUUAAAGCGGCACGCGAGCUGGGUUCAGAACGUCGUGAGACAGUUCGGUCCCUAUCCGCUACUGGCGUUGGAGAUUUGAGAGGUCCUGUCCCUAGUACGAGAGGACCGGGAUGGACGAACCUCUAGUGCACCUGCUGUCAUGCCAAUGGCACCGCAGGGUAGCUAUGUUCGGAUAGGAUAACCGCUGAAAGCAUCUAAGCGGGAAACCUGCCUCAAGAUAAGAUCUCCCUGGACUUCGGUCCCUGAAGACGCCUCAAAGACUAUGAGGUUGAUAGGCUACAAGUGUAAGUGCAGUAAUGCAUUCAGCUGAGUAGUACUAAUAUGUCGUGAGGCUUGACCAU
This 2968-nucleotide ribosomal RNA is filed under the name Leptospirales bacterium. RNAcentral describes it as "23S ribosomal RNA". It matches the Rfam family "Bacterial large subunit ribosomal RNA". Lineage: Bacteria; Pseudomonadati; Spirochaetota; Leptospiria; Leptospirales. The record is from RNAcentral.